RNAcentral lists this long non-coding RNA (648 nucleotides) under Marmota monax (woodchuck). The record is from RNAcentral. Lineage: Eukaryota; Metazoa; Chordata; Mammalia; Rodentia; Sciuridae.
GGAUUGAACCCAAUGCCUCACGCAUCCUAGGCGAGCUCUCUACCUCUGAGCCAAAACUCCAGCCCUAAAUUGCUAAAUUUCUAUGUCAACAAUUAUCAUCAUGUAAGUCACAUGUUUAAACCACAUCAUCAUUUGUAAGUUACCAUAUCCCAUUGUAUGGGUGUACUAUUAUUUAUAAAGCAAGUCACAGUAAUUUGGGCAUUUGGAUAGUUUGUAGAAUUUUGAUCUUAUGAUAAAAUUGUGAUGAUGAUCUUUGUGGUGAGACUGUGCUUGUGCUUCUGAUUUAUUUUCUAAAGUUAUACUUUAGAAUGAAGAGAGCUGGGUUGGAGGCUACACUCCUUUUUUUGCAGGGCCUCACAUAUGCUAGGCAAGCACUCUACCACUGAGCUACAUCUCCAGCUCUGGAAUACAUACUUUAAAAUUAACCUGGAUAGGCAAGAAAACAGAGUAUUGAUAUUGAGACUAAGAAAAUCUCUGGGGGUGCCUCUGGCCAUGUACAAUGUGGGAGGACUCUGGGGUCUAAGGGAGCUCUCAAGGUUUGCUAAAGAUGGGGCUAUGAAGCCAUUGGCUUUCUGGCUUCAGGCCAACCAGAGAAAAGCUGGGUUUGGGCUUCAUUAUCCAAAAUUUGGACAGGUCACUAUGUCUUCA